This 2184-nucleotide ribosomal RNA is filed under the name human gut metagenome. Its description in RNAcentral is "bacterial LSU rRNA". It matches the Rfam family "Bacterial large subunit ribosomal RNA", at positions 183 to 2398 of the family's 2925-position model. The record is from RNAcentral.
ACCCGGUGAACUGAAACAUCUAAGUAGCCGGAGGAAGAGAAAGAAACAUCGAUUUCCAGAGUAGCGGCGAGCGAAAUGGAAAGAGGCCAAACCGUUGUGCGUGCACAGCGGGGUUCGGACCGCAUAAUUGAUUCAGUGAUUCUAGCAGAAAGGUUUUGGGAAAGCCUGCCGGAGAGGGUGAAAGCCCCGUAAGCGAAAGGAAAACUGACAAGGCGGUAUCCAGAGUACAUCGAGACACGUGAAACCUUGAUGGAACACGCGGGGACCACCCCGUAAGCCUAAAUACUACUUAGUGACCGAUAGCGCAUAGUACUGUGAAGGAAAGGUGAAAAGGACCCCGGGAGGGGAGUGAAAGAGAACCUGAAACCCUGUGUUUACAAUCUGUGGAAGGUCUUUAUAUGACCAACCGCGUACUUUUUGUAGAACGGUCCGGCGAGUUACGCGUACUGGCAAGGUUAAGUGCUUAAGGCACGGAGCCGAAGCGACAGCGAGUCUUAACUGGGCGAUGAGUCAGUACGAGUAGACCCGAAACCGGGUGAUCUAUCCAUGUCCAGGAUGAAGAUGCCGUAAAAGGCAUUGGAGGUCCGAAGCCACAUCCGUUGAAAAGGGUGGGCAUGAGGUGUGGAUAGGGGAGAAAUUCCAAUCGAACCCGGAGAUAGCUGGUUCUCCUCGAAAUAGCUUUAGGGCUAGCCUCGUUUUAGUCUUAUGGAGGUAGAGCACUGAAUUUCCGCGGGGGCGUCAAAGCUUACCAAAGAAUAUCAAACUCCGAAUGCCAUGUAGAUGAUGAACGGGAGUCAGACUGCACGAGAUAAGUUGGGCGGUCAAAAGGGAAAGAGCCCAGACCACCGGCUAAGGUCCCAAAGUGUGUGUUAAGUGGAAAAGGAUGUGGGAAUUCGAAGACAACUAGGAUGUUGGCUCAGAAGCAGCCAUACAUUCAAAGAGUGCGUAACAGCUCACUAGUCGAGAGUCCCUGCGCCGAAAAUGUCCGGGGCUGAAACACAACACCGAAGCCGUGGACUCCGUAAGGAGUGGUAGAGGAGCAUUCUUAAAACCGACGAAGCUGUACCGGUAAGGAGCAGUGGAGGGAUAAGAAGAGAGAAUGCCGGAAUGAGUAGCGAGAGGAAGGUGGGAAUCCUUCCGGCCGAAUAUCUAAGGUUUCCAGAGUAAAGCUGAUCUGCUCUGGGUAAGUCGGGGCCUAAGGAGAGGUCGCAAGACGUAUCCGAUGGACAACAGGUUUAGAUUCCUGUACCGCAUAUAAACAGAACUGUGGGGACGCAUGUGGAAAGCAUAAGCCGGGAAUGGAAAGACCGGUACAAGCGAGGUAGGUGUGUGACAGGCAAAUCCGUCACACAAGCCGAAGACGUGAUGUGGAGCGAAAUUAAGUAGUGAAGUAUGUGAGCCAUGUGCCGAGAAAAGCCGCUAUUGUUUUAUAUGUGCCCGUACCGUAAACCGACACAGGUGGAUGAGGAGAGAAUCCUAAGGCCGACGGAAGAAGCAUUGUUAAGGAAUUCGGCAAAAUGACCCCGUAACUUCGGGAGAAGGGGUGCCCACUGAAUGGUGGGCCGCAGAGAAUAGGCUCAAGCAACUGUUUAGCAAAAACACAGGUCUAUGCGAAACCGAAAGGUGAAGUAUAUGGGCUGACGCCUGCCCGGUGCUGGAAGGUUAAGAGGAGAGGUUAGCGCAAGCGAAGCUUUGAAUUUAAGCCCCAGUAAACGGCGGCCGUAACUAUAACGGUCCUAAGGUAGCGAAAUUCCUUGUCGGGUAAGUUCCGACCCGCACGAAAGGCGUAAUGAUUUGAGCACUGUCUCGACAAUGCAUCCGGUGAAAUUGAAGUACCAGUGAAGAUGCUGGUUACCCGCGCCAGGACGGAAAGACCCCAUGGAGCUUUACUCCAGUUUGAUACUGGGAUUCGGUACUGCACGUACAGGAUAGGUGGGAGACUGAGAACUAUGGACGCCAGUCUGUAGGGAGUCGCUGUUGGGAUACCACCCCUGUAGUACUGGGUUUCUAACCAUCUGCCGUGAUCCGGCAGUGGGACAAUGUCAGGCGGGGAGUUUGACUGGGGCGGUCGCCUCCGAAAGGGUAUCGGAGGCGCUCAAAGGUUCCCUCAGAAUGGUCGGAAACCAUUUGAAGAGUGCAAAGGCAGAAGGGAGCUUGACUGCGACACCGACGGGUGGAGCAGGU